GUUCUGCAUAUAUGUGCUUGCAAGAAAGGGCAACUAAUAUGUUUCUAUUUGUUAGAGAGCUCUGAAUAAGAUUAUUGUUUCGUCCUCUUACAGAAUUUGCUCUCCUUCCUUUUUGAUGCUUUCAUGAUUGAUAAGGUCUCUUCAUGAUUAUGUUUACAUAUGCGAUGGAUGCGUCAACGAAAAAUUUCAGCUGAAGCUCCUGGUCCUCAAAGGUUACUGCUCUUUUUCAUAAGGACAUUGAUUCUUUCAAGAUAUAAUUGCUUGGAAACUGGGAACUUUGUAGAUCGUUUUUUUUCCUUCAAAAUGGAGGGGGUACCCCUGGCCUCUGCAUCGACUUUGUAGAUCAGGAUGUCUUUGGCAAUGGCACUGGACACAAAAUAAAAUCCUGACAAUCUCUAGGUGUUGAAGAAAUCGCGCAAUCAGGUGAAUACUGC
Long non-coding RNA from Lolium rigidum, 434 nucleotides. RefSeq lists it as uncharacterized. The transcript is spliced from 3 exons. The record is from RefSeq and is a predicted model, not a curated record. Lineage: Eukaryota; Viridiplantae; Streptophyta; Magnoliopsida; Poales; Poaceae.